RNAcentral lists this ribosomal RNA (336 nucleotides) under Psychosaura macrorhyncha. Its description in RNAcentral is "partial 12S ribosomal RNA". It matches the Rfam family "Bacterial small subunit ribosomal RNA", at positions 853 to 1357 of the family's 1533-position model. Lineage: Eukaryota; Metazoa; Chordata; Lepidosauria; Squamata; Scincidae. The record is from RNAcentral.
AAAAACACAAUAUUGUCCGCCAGAGAACUACAAGUGAAAAACUAGAAACUCCAAGGACUUGGCGGUGCCCCACAUCAACCUAGAGGAGCCUGUCCUAUAAUCGAUAAUCCACGCUGCACCUUACCAUUUCUAGNCAAUUCAGCCUAUAUACCGCCGUCGAAAGCCUACCUUAUGAAAGAAUUAAAGUAAGCAAAAUAGUCAACAACUAAAACGUCAGGUCAAGGUGUAGCACAUGAAAUGGAAGAGAUGGGCUACAUUUUCUACCCUAGAAAACACGAACAGCACAAUGAAAUCUGUACUCGAAGGCGGAUUUAGCAGUAAGACAAAAAAGAAAAU